RNAcentral lists this ribosomal RNA (334 nucleotides) under Solenandra parviflora. RNAcentral's name for it is "partial 5.8S ribosomal RNA, ITS2". The stretch from base 1 to 106 matches the Rfam family "5.8S ribosomal RNA", at positions 44 to 154 of the family's 154-position model. The record is from RNAcentral. Lineage: Eukaryota; Viridiplantae; Streptophyta; Magnoliopsida; Gentianales; Rubiaceae.
CGCAGCGAAUGCGAUACUUGGUGUGAUGAGAAUCCGUGAACCAUCGAGUUUUGAACGCAAGUUGCGCCCGAAGCCAUUAGGCCGAGGCACGUCUGCCUGGGCGUCACGCAUCACGUCGCCACCCACCAUCGUUGUGAUGGGUGGCGGAUGUUGGCCUCCCGUGUUGCAAGAUGCGGCCGGCCUAAAAGCGAGUCCUCGGCGAGAGACGUCACGACUAGUGGUGGUUGAAUUCCUCAACUCGAGYCCUGUCGUGCCGAUGCCUCUCGACGUCUUUGGGCUCCCUCGACCCUAUAGCGUGCUCACAAGGGCASACCUCGACCGCGACCCCWGGUCA